UUGUCAGCAUCGUGCGGCGAGCACCCAGUGAAGUGAGAUGGAGAUGGUGGAGCAUGUUGGAUGGCUGAAGGGAAUGAUCCAGUAGAUAGCAACCGAUGACGCAAGAGACAGAGGGGUGAUGGCAGAGUCCUGGAGGGAACUGUUGUUCUUGUCGAGGGAAGAACCCCCAGUCUCACAGGGGAAGGCGAGAAGGCACAAGGGUGAUGGAUCGACUUGCGACGCCCCCUAGUUGCUGGAGCCUCUGACUGAUCCCGGAUCCCCCCACCCCGGUGCCCCUGCAUUCCGGCUGCACCUGAAGGUACUGAUACUGCUCGGGGGUAAGAUAUAGUACAGGGCGCCCUCCGUGCGCAUGGGUCCUUGGGCACACAGACAAGUAUAGAAGUGGGAACAGUUUCUAGAAGUGGGAUUUCUGGACCAAAGGCUUCUGUGAUUUUGACAGACACUGCUGGGUUGUCUUUCAUAAAGGUUGUGUUGAUUUACUCAAAAACCUUGGGAAGAGAGAGAACCUGUCCCUCACACCUUUGAAAAUGGUGUUACCAGGCUGUUCAGUCGUAGCCAACCUCAUAGAAGAAGAAGAGAAUCUCACUGAAGUUUUGAUAUCUCUUAUUCUAAGAGUUCACAUAAUUUCCCCAGUUGUUGAUAUUUCCUUUCCUUAAACUGUCACUCACAUUCUGGGGGCGCCUGGGUGGCUCAGUC
This is a long non-coding RNA of Hyaena hyaena (striped hyena), 696 nucleotides long. RefSeq lists it as uncharacterized. The record is from RefSeq and is a predicted model, not a curated record. The transcript is spliced from 4 exons. Lineage: Eukaryota; Metazoa; Chordata; Mammalia; Carnivora; Hyaenidae.